RNAcentral lists this long non-coding RNA (201 nucleotides) under Panax ginseng (ginseng). RNAcentral describes it as "long non-coding RNA (PGIN_LNC016093)". The record is from RNAcentral. Lineage: Eukaryota; Viridiplantae; Streptophyta; Magnoliopsida; Apiales; Araliaceae.
ACAUGGCCUUAUGGCCUUUGGGAUAUUAUAACUGAUAAAGCUUUUAGUUUUUUAACCUGAUAACUUAAGUUUACGCAUAAUGGUAUAUAUUAGUUUACAAUAUAUGUAUUAUCCUAAGACUAAAGUUAGAAACACAAAGAGAAACAUAGGAAUGAAAUUGAGAGAGCUAGAGAGGAAAUUGAGAGUUCUCUGUGAAUUGGG